This is a long non-coding RNA of Arabidopsis lyrata subsp. lyrata, 658 nucleotides long. RefSeq lists it as uncharacterized. Lineage: Eukaryota; Viridiplantae; Streptophyta; Magnoliopsida; Brassicales; Brassicaceae. The transcript has 2 exons. The record is from RefSeq and is a predicted model, not a curated record.
UUCCGAAACCCUAUAAAAUCUUCCUCUCCGUAAUGUAACCAUCACCGCCAAAUCUUUGAGCCAACCUUCUUGCUCCUAAAUUCCCACUUUCGAACGUUCUUUCUCUCCGCAAAAGUCUCAUCCAAAACAGAAAUAUGAAUCGUCGACCUUACGCAUCUCUCUCAAAUCCGGAUGAGUUCAAAUUCUCUGAUCGAUAAUUUAAGGAUCGAAUCAUUGGAGUGGGUUUAUGGAGAACUCAAAAUUAGGUUCAGUUGGUGUUUCAUGUAGAAGUUCUUCGUUGAACACUUUUCAACAAUAUGGGGAAAGCUGUACCUCCUAGAUUUAAAGAUAUAUCAGCGAUGACGAGGAGGAGCGGUGACGUUACCCAAGAAAAACAUCAAGAAAGUCGUUGAUCGAGCUGGUGGCUGGUUGGUUCCGUGAGAUGAUGGUUGUACGGCACACUCUUUCUUUUAUGUACCUUUGGUGUGAGUAGAUUUUUGUUUAACUAAAUGAGGUUCUGAUUAUCAACAAGGUUCAAUCGACGGUCUUUCGUAGUGAAUUCUGAUCUGAACACAAUGUUCACUCUUUUCUAAUCAUCCUCUUAGUAAAAUUUGGUCCGUCUUUUUACCCUGAGGUUUUCGGCUUUUAAACCCUAGCUAUUUGUUUCAUCUUCUUUGAU